RNAcentral lists this ribosomal RNA (450 nucleotides) under uncultured bacterium. Its description in RNAcentral is "partial 16S ribosomal RNA". It matches the Rfam family "Bacterial small subunit ribosomal RNA", at positions 354 to 796 of the family's 1533-position model. The record is from RNAcentral.
GUGGGGAAUAUUGGACAAUGGGCGAAAGCCUGAUCCAGCCAUGCCGCGUGUGUGAAGAAGGUCUUCGGAUUGUAAAGCACUUUAAGUUGGGAGGAAGGGCAGUAAGUUAAUACCUUGCUGUUUUGACGUUACCGACAGAAUAAGCACCGGCUAACUUCGUGCCAGCAGCCGCGGUAAUACGAAGGGUGCAAGCGUUAAUCGGAAUUACUGGGCGUAAAGCGCGCGUAGGUGGUUUUGUAUGUUGGAGGUGAAAUCCCCGGGCUCAACCAGGGAACUGCCUCCAAAACUGCAUGACUAGAGUACGGUAGAGGGUAGUGGAAUUUCCUGUGUAGCGGUGAAAUGCGUAGAUAUAGGAAGGAACACCAGUGGCGAAGGCGACUACCUGGACUGAUACUGACACUGAGGUGCGAAAGCGUGGGGAGCAAACAGGAUUAGAAACCCUUGUAGUCC